AGAGUUUGAUCAUGGCUCAGAGCGAACGCUGGCGGCGUGCCUAACACAUGCAAGUCGAACGUGAACGGGAGCAAUCCUUAGUAAAGUGGGUCCGGGUGAGUAACGCGUAGGCAAUCUACCCCAGAGUCUGGAAUAACCUGCCGAAAGGCGGGCUAAUACUGGAUAGAGCGACGGAAUCCGUAAUUGGGUUUUUCGGGAAAGGGAGGUCGUAAGACCCCUUGCUCUGGGAUGGGCCUGCGUCCCAUCAGCUAGUUGGUAAGGUAAUGGCUUACCAAGGCUAUGACGGGUAGCUGGUCUGAGAGGAUGAUCAGCCACACUGGAACUGAAACACGGUCCAGACUCCUACGGGAGGCAGCGGUGGGGAAUCUUGCGCAAUGGGCGAAAGCCUGACGCAGCCACGCCGCGUGAGUGAAGAAGGCCUUCGGGUUGUAAAGCUCUGUCGCCCGGGACGAAAACUCUUGGAGUUAACAGCUCCAGGAAUUGACGGUACCGGGAGAGGAAGCACCGGCUAACUCUGUGCCAGCAGCCGCGGUAAUACAGAGGGUGCAACGUUGCUCGGAAUCAUUGGGCGUAAAGGGCAAGUAGGUGGUCUUAUUUGUCUCGUGUGAAAUCCUUGGGCUUAACUCAAGAAGUGCGCGAGAAACGGUGAGACUAGAGUUCUGGAGAGGGUCGUGGAAUUCCCGGUGUAGCGGUGAAAUGCGUAGAGAUCGGGAGGAACACCAGAGGCGAAGGCGGCGACCUGGACAGAUACUGACACUCAACUGCGAAAGCGUGGGGAGCAAACAGGAUUAGAUACCCUAGUAGUCC
RNAcentral lists this ribosomal RNA (807 nucleotides) under uncultured bacterium. RNAcentral describes it as "bacterial SSU rRNA". It matches the Rfam family "Bacterial small subunit ribosomal RNA", at positions 8 to 796 of the family's 1533-position model. The record is from RNAcentral.